Molecule: ribosomal RNA, 373 nt
Filed under: uncultured bacterium
Lineage: Bacteria
Description: bacterial SSU rRNA
Rfam family: Bacterial small subunit ribosomal RNA
Source: RNAcentral
AUACGGAGGAUGCAAGCGUUAUCCGGAUUUAUUGGGUUUAAAGGGUGCGCAGGCGGAAUGGUAAGUCAGUGGUGAAAUCUCUCGGCUCAACCGGGAAACUGCCGUUGAUACUGCCGUUCUAGAGUACAGUUGGGGUGGGCGGAAUGUGUCAUGUAGCGGUGAAAUGCUUAGAUAUGACACAGAACACCGAUCGCGAAGGCAGCUCACCAAGUUGUAACUGACGCUCAUGCACGAAAGCGUGGGGAGCAAACAGGAUUAGAUACCCUGGUAGUCCACGCCGUAAACGAUGAUCACUCGUUGUUGGCGAUACACAGUCAGCGGCUGAGCGAAAGCAUUAAGUGAUCCACCUGGGGAGUACGACCGCAAGGUUGAA